This 465-nucleotide ribosomal RNA is filed under the name Vreelandella stevensii. RNAcentral's name for it is "partial 16S ribosomal RNA". It matches the Rfam family "Bacterial small subunit ribosomal RNA", at positions 338 to 795 of the family's 1533-position model. The record is from RNAcentral. Lineage: Bacteria; Pseudomonadati; Pseudomonadota; Gammaproteobacteria; Oceanospirillales; Halomonadaceae.
CCUACGGUGGGCUGCAGUGGGGAAUAUUGGACAAUGGGGGCAACCCUGAUCCAGCCAUGCCGCGUGUGUGAAGAAGGCCCUCGGGUUGUAAAGCACUUUCAGUGAGGAAGAACGCCUGGUGGUUAAUACCCAUCAGGAAAGACAUCACUCACAGAAGAAGCACCGGCUAACUCCGUGCCAGCAGCCGCGGUAAUACGGAGGGUGCGAGCGUUAAUCGGAAUUACUGGGCGUAAAGCGCGCGUAGGUGGCUUGAUAAGCCGGUUGUGAAAGCCCCGGGCUCAACCUGGGAACGGCAUCCGGAACUGUCAAGCUAGAGUGCAGGAGAGGAAGGUAGAAUUCCCGGUGUAGCGGUGAAAUGCGUAGAGAUCGGGAGGAAUACCAGUGGCGAAGGCGGCCUUCUGGACUGACACUGACACUGAGGUGCGAAAGCGUGGGUAGCAAACAGGAUUAGAUACCCUGGUAGUC